Molecule: long non-coding RNA, 5057 nt
Organism: Heterocephalus glaber (naked mole-rat)
Lineage: Eukaryota; Metazoa; Chordata; Mammalia; Rodentia; Bathyergidae
Source: Ensembl
AAACAGGCUCUUCUACAAGUGAUCUUAUUUUUCUAUAACUUUAGGUUAGUUUUUCCUCAUGAGACACAUAGUUGGCUAACAAGUAUGAUGUGUAGAUGCUGCAAGACAUAUGGAGGUGUGGAAUGAAAUGUUUCACACUUUUACUUCAGAAAGAUUCUACUUAUAAGCUAAAGGAAGUAACAAGACCAAUCCAGGUUCAAAGGAUGGAAAAAAGGUUUUACUUUUUAAUGGUAGACCCUGAAAAGUCACAUUGCUAUAAACACUGGAUAUAGUGUUGAAAGGAAAUUUAGCAUGACUUUUGUAAAGAAAAUAUCAUGCAACAUCCUAGAAUUUUGAUAUUGAAUAACUCCAAAGGAUACCUGUGAUAAAGGGUUAUUUCUCAGCUUGCUGUUAUUGAGAGAUGGUAGAAACUUCGAGGGGUGGGGCCUAAUGUGAAGUUGUAGGGCCACGGGAUCUGCCUUGAAUGGAUAGUGGGAUUGCUGUCCCUUAUUUCUUUUUUGUGUUUAUUUUCCAACCAUAAGAUGAGCAGAUUACUUUCUUCAUGUUCUCCCCAAUCCCGAUUUUCUGCCUUGCUAAAAAUCCGAAAGAAACCAGGCCUACCAACCAUGGAUUGAAAUCUCUAAAACUGAAAUUAACAAAAUUGGCUCAACUAUUAGAAAUUUCAAUUAACUAGACAUCUGUUGAAAACACACCGAAUAGAAUACAAUCUGUUUAAAAUAUUUUUUACAUAAGGUGGCUGACAGUGCAAUAAAGCAAACAACAAGAGGAAUAAGCAGGUUCAGUAUUGUAUGUUGGAGAUUCAAAAGAUCCAAUCCAAAGAUGAAAGCCUAGAGAUAGCAAUCUGAUGAGAGACCUUGUCAGAAAGCCAAAGGAUCUGCAUUGAGAGGCUCAAGAAUCUGCAUUAGUUGCCUGAAAGAACUGCAAAGGAAUAUCCAAAGGAAACGCCUAAGACUGGAGCUCCUCUGAAGUAGAAAAGGGGAAGACUUCUUUCUUGUGUUUUUUUUUUGUUCUAGGGAAGUUAUAAGCCAACUGUUUCGUGCCACCCAUAUCCACAUUGCAUCUUCCCUCCUUAGUUUGUGGCCUACAUGUCAGUUAUUAACAGAUACAGAGAAAACAGUACUCCAUUAAUCUGCUAGGUGUAUUUUUUAAUUCACUCAAAUUGACAUCACAAUUAAUUAUCACAGUGGUGCGAUAGUCCCCAGCUAUAAUUGUAUUGCUGUUUAAAUACCCUUUAUGUCAAGAAGUUUUUGUUUUAAGAAACCAAUAGAUGGUGCAUACAUACUUAAACUAAUAUAUUUUUCUGUUGAACUGCUCCUUUCACCAAUAUGUGACUUUUCUUGUUUCCUCUAAUCAUUUAAAAAAUAACGUCACAGGGUCUAUGGGCUAAAGACAAUACUGUUUUGGGAUUUCUUUGAAAACACAAUCUCUUACAUUUUAAAUAAGUAUAUAAGAUUUUAUUAUCUUUAUGACAAUCAUCUAAUAUUAACCAGACUAGACUGCUAAAAAUGAAAAUUAUACAUAGAGAACAUUUGCUUUUAAUGUAUAUACUGGUAAUCUAAAAAGAAUUUAAAAGUAUUUUAAGUCCACCAGGUAUGUAGGAAGCUGGAAGAGUGAAGACACAGGUGCAGGGAGACCCUGGAAAGCUGGAGAAGACAGGAAUAUGGAGUGUCUGAGGAAAGCCACAAGGAAUGAGCAGACCCAGCCCAAGAGCUGUCAUGAGACAUCUAACCAUGAACAAUGCUAUGCAAGCCCUUUGGAGUCACCACAUCUUGCCCUGCAUGCUCAGCGUGGAGCUAUAAGACUGAUCCUUUGCCUUAAUGGGCUUUAGUCUUCUUUUGCUCUUAUUAGUUUCUAUUCCUCUGUUCUUCCUUUUUGAGAUGGAAAUGUUUAUUCUGUGCCAUUGUAAGUUGGCAGUGUUUAACUUUCUUUUUGAUUUUUAUAGAAGCUCAUAGCUAAGAGUUUUGCUUGUCUCAGAGGAGACUUUGGACUUCAAUUUUUCAGUAAUACUGAAACUUUGGCCACUCUUAGAGAUGGACUACAUGUACUUCGCAUAAAGACGUGCGUGCGUGUGUGUGUGUGUGUGUGUGUGUGUGUGUCUUUUAGUGGCCAGGGGCAGAGCGUCAUGUUAUAUCUAGAUAGACCUCGGGAGACUCAUGCACUAUAGGUGGCUUUUGGGAGGUGACAGGAUUUUUGGAGCUUAUAGCUGGCUUGCUGUUAGGAGAUGGGGUCUGGUCUAAAAUGCUGGGUUUUGAGGGUAUGACAUGGAAAGGUUUAUUUCUUUCCCCAGCUCCUCCCUUCACUCUGUGUUUCCCAGCCACUGUAUCAUCAGCAUCUUUUCUUCUGCUAUGCCCCACUGCCAUGCCACCUCUCCCUGUAGCCAGGCAACUAUGGGCUAAAAACUAUACAAACUGUGGGCUAACAUAAACAUUUUCUCUAAGUUGCAGAUGUCGGAUAUUGUGUCCCAGUAAGAAGUAAGAUAUUCAUGUAAUACAUCUACUCGCUUACCAGCAAGAACUCUUGCAUGCCUUUCUACAUCCAACCAUAGAUUAGAAAACUCUUGUUGGGAGUAAUACAACCAGUUCCUGACCUCUUUCACCAACUCAAGAGCAGAAUCUCUUUUCCUCUAGACAUCUUCUGUUUCCUAUCUUUUGACGUACAUCCUAGCCAGUGUUUAAAUACACUAAAAUUUCCUCAAUUUUGAAAUAAGAAAUUAAACAAGGUUUAUUUAUUCCAUUUGUUUCAUGAGAAACAGGCUCAUUUCUUCCCUAUUCUUUACCUACCCACCCUCUCAAUCAUCAAACACUGUUUCUAAACACUGUCUCAAAAGCUGGAAUGCAAUUUACUGGUAGAGCUAUUGCCUUUCCUGUGUGUAACUAUGAGUUCUAUAACCAACAUUGAUGGAAGAAAAAAAAACUAAAGCAAAUAUUGUUUUCAAUUCUUUUUGAAAGCUAGAUGCACUCUGGUUUGAACUUAUUUUCCAAAUUACUACCAGUUUAGAAAAUGAAAUUGGUUUUUCUCUCUUUUUAAUUAGCACAUAUAUGUAGCACAUACUGACGACAUUCCUUGUGGGGAGCUGGUAUAUGUACAGAAUACAUCUUAGCUCCUUUAUUCAUUCAGUUUCCUUCCCCUCUCUUGAUCUCCUUCCUUUGUAUAUAUUUGCAGUCAUAACAUUUAAGGUUCUUAUGUGCAGUUGAUACAUGUACUUGGCACGUCUUAAUUCCUUUAUUUCCCAUCUCUUCCCUCUCUCUCUCUUUUUCCAACCCUUAAUCCCGUUCCCCUCUGAGAAAGAUCUGUCUCUACUUCUCAUUAUCAAUCAUUUAGUUUGCUCCUUAUUGAUACUUAGAGUUUCUCAUAUAAGAGAAACCAUGUGAUAUUUAACCUUGUGUGUUUAAUUUUUUCACUUAUCGUUAUAGUCUCAAGUUGCAUUAAUUUUUCUACAAAUGACUCAAGUUUAUCUUUCUUUAUAGCAGACUAGUACACCAGUGUUUAUAAAUACCACGUUUCUUUAUCCAUUUAUCUGUUAAUGGAAAUCUACCACUGCUUCCAUGAUUUAUCUACAAAAUGAAUUGUGCUGUUCUAAACAACAGUAUGCAUGUAGUAUGAUGUCUUUAACUCUCAAGAAGAUAAUGAGAAUAGCUGAGUUAAAUUGAAUUUUUAGAUUUAGAUUUUUGAGGAAUCUCCAGACUGAUUUCCAUUACAGCUUAUAUUCCUACCAACAGUGAUGUGUUCCUUUUUCCCAGCACCCUCACCAGAAUUUUUUAUUAUUUCAUUUCUUGAUGAAGGUCAUGCUUUCUAGGAAUCUCAGUGAUGCUUUAAUUUGCAUUUCUCUAUUGGCCAGUGAUGCUGAGCACUUCUUCAUGUAUUUAUUGGCCAUUUUUACUUCUUCUGUGAAGUGUUUAUUCAUUUUCCUUGCCCAGUUUUAUUUGGAUCUUUAAUUUUGGAGGAUCUUUUUUUUUAUAGUUCUUUUAGAUAUAUUUGAUGUAAGUCCUCCAUCUGAGGAAUCACUGGCAAAAUGUUUUUUAUAUUCUGUAGGUUUUCUUCUCACUCUGUUGGUUGUUUCUUUUCCUGUGCAGAAGGUUUUCAAUUUGAUAUGAUCCCAUUUAUUGAGUCCCAGAACUAUUUCCUGUGCAACUAGGGUUCUGUUUAGAAUGUCCUUGCCUAUGUUGUACUCUUACAGGGGCAGGCUCUGCUCCUGUGUGACGAGUUGGGUCUCUCCCCUUGGGAUGGGCAUCAUCAGUUUCAUCACGUGGCAGCUUUUCUGCUGUAUCUGACUUGACACAGCACCACUGAAAAGAAUGCACAAACCCUUCUUGUAUAGCAUGUUGUUUUGGUUUUCCAUUAGCCUCACAUGUCCAUCUCUUUAAUUGCUCCUUUCAUAUUCAUUUUCUUGGAAUUCCCAAAUACUCAGUUUGUAGCAUUUUCAUUUUUCUUUAUAUACUCUUCACUUAUGGUUUCAUCUAGACUAUAUGCUGGCAACAUACAUAUUUAUAUCAUCUCAAGUUAUAGACUAUUUCCUGUACUUCAAACUCAUGUCAUUAUUUGACAUUGUAAUUAAAACACACCUCAUAUUUGAAGGUUAUAUCCAAGACAUUACUUUCAUGCAUGAAUCCACCCCUAAACCUGUUUCAUCUACAUUCUACUCUCAGCUUAGCUAACAGCAACUAAGUCCUUCCAAAAAUCUUGGGGAUAUCCAUUUGCUAUUAUUAAAAUUUAUCAAUAAAUGUCCUUUUCAGAUUAUUUGCUUUUAUUGUCCCCUCUGCUGGAAUAAUCUCCCCCAAUAUCCCACUUACUCCCCAUAUUCAUCAAGUCAUUGUCAAAUAUAAAAGAGGCUUCCUUUCUCAUUUAGUGUAGAAAUAAAAAUCAUUCCUCUUCUUGACCUUCCAUUGUAUUAUUUUUCUUAAUAUAAGUAAUUAUUAAAAGUUUCUUUCAAAUAUACAAGAAGUAAAAUAAAUGUACUGACACCUCCAAUUUAAUAUUUUUAUACAUUUUAUGAUUUCUUUUAACUUAUUAGUUCCUCAAAUAAUAUUAAUUAAACUUUUAAAAUAUUUAAAAGGUGC